RNAcentral lists this long non-coding RNA (1359 nucleotides) under Ananas comosus (pineapple). Its description in RNAcentral is "long non-coding RNA (ACOM_LNC033366)". Lineage: Eukaryota; Viridiplantae; Streptophyta; Magnoliopsida; Poales; Bromeliaceae. The record is from RNAcentral.
CUGUAUUCCCAUCCCCCGUAAAGUAUCCUAUCCAUCCUAUGUAUAUAUAUAGAUAUAUUGUCACGCCCCGGAUUGCACUUUCCCCGGGCACGCCGACAAAUCCGCCGUAUACAAGGAAUUUCCCCUGUAUACGAAGCGACAGCAGUACCUGUAAACCAUACAAUACUACAAACAGUAAUAUAGAGCUGCUAGAGUAACCAGAAGCUAAACAAACAGAGUUCCAUAUACAUAGACCAAAACCAAAAUACAGAAUUACUCGCACUGGCGAGUUAAGUAUACUAUGUACAUGAACUCAAAACAAAACAUCUACCUGCAGUAGGAGCACCUCUAGCUCAGUACGUCGGGUAGGGCUCUAACUCGCGACGCCCUUGCCUCGAUCCUGAUCCGCGGAAGGCGCAGCAGCCGAAACCUGUGGCUCUGCAAAACAGGGGUAACAACUAGGCGUGAGAACUACUGUAAAAACAGGUAGUCCUCAGUGGGUGCCGCCCUCAACAACAUCGGUCCACCCACUAAGUCUACAGAGGGGAGCCAGAAUAGUAGGAAAAUGCAGGAAAUAAACUCAACCGCUACAAAUCACUACACUAUCAUGCUGGACACUAACCAACUGUAGGAAAUGUCAAAUCUGACCCAAUCCAAUCGAGACUGUAAGCAUACCCGUCCCUGGGACUGUGAACACACCCGUCCCUGCCCAGUUGUGACUAUCCAACUACCUCCACACUACAAGUCCGUGGAGAGCAAGUCCAACCGGCAUGAGCGACACCAACGCGAAAGCACAAAGCCCGUCUCCGAAGUGGCACUCGUGGGCGCUACCCAACCGAGUAUGCAGCGUCUCUCUAUCGAGCUCAAUCAGGCUCUGUCAACCCAAAGUCCAAGUAACAGACUCUAACUGGUCUAACAACCAACAAGUAACGUGCCCUCGGCACAAUCUGACGCCAAAGCGGCGAACCAGGCCCACCGUCAACCCCAACGGCGCCCCAGAGUCCGAAACAGCCCAAACGACCCUGUAAAAAUCCACUCGGCGUACCAGCACGAGCGUAAAUGUAUUCGAAACUACCUGUAGUACUCGUCUCGAGGAUACUGCGACAGUACAAUUUUAUAACGACUCAUAGAGCUAAAUCAGGCAGUUUAAACAAGUGACAGGUCCAAAUCGCAGGGUUUCUCCUAAUUCAAAAUCCAAAUCCAACAUGUAUAACCUACUCAAUUUAUUACAACAUGCUCUAAAUUCAUAUUUGCAAUCUACCAUAUAAUCCAUGAAUUCGAGCUAGAAUAGUUUAUCCAAAAUCGAAAUCUAUACAUGUCGACGAUUAUGAACUUAGGAGUAAAACCGAUGUAAACCCACCUCAAAGCUAAUCCCUGGCA